GCCGGGCGUGGUGGCUCACGCCUGUAAUCCCAGCACUUUGGGAGGCCGAGGCAGGUGGAUCACCUGAGGUCAGGAGUUUGAGACCAGCCUGGUCAACAUGGUGAAACCCCGUCUCUA
This is an unclassified non-coding RNA of Macaca fascicularis (crab-eating macaque), 117 nucleotides long. It matches the Rfam family "Metazoan signal recognition particle RNA". Rfam says of the family: The signal recognition particle (SRP) is a universally conserved ribonucleoprotein. It is involved in the co-translational targeting of proteins to membranes. The eukaryotic SRP consists of a 300-nucleotide 7S RNA and six proteins: SRPs 72, 68, 54, 19, 14, and 9. The record is from Ensembl. NCBI's taxonomy places the organism in Eukaryota, Metazoa, Chordata, Mammalia, Primates, Cercopithecidae.